AAUACAUCGGAACGUGCCUAGUAGUGGGGGAUAACUACUCGAAAGAGUGGCUAAUACCGCAUGAGAUCUACGGAUGAAAGCAGGGGAUCGCAAGACCUUGUGCUACUAGAGCGGCCGAUGGCAGAUUAGGUAGUUGGUGGGAUAAAAGCUUACCAAGCCGACGAUCUGUAGCUGGUCUGAGAGGACGAUCAGCCACACUGGGACUGAGACACGGCCCAGACUCCUACGGGAGGCAGCAGUGGGGAAUUUUGGACAAUGGGCGCAAGCCUGAUCCAGCAAUGCCGCGUGCAGGAUGAAGGCCUUCGGGUUGUAAACUGCUUUUGUACGGAACGAAAAGCCCUGGGUUAAUACCCUGGGGUCAUGACGGUACCGUAAGAAUAAGCACCAGCUAACUACGUGCCAGCAGCCGCGGUAAUACGUAGGGUGCGAGCGUUAAUCGGAAUUACUGGGCGUAAAGCGUGCGCAGGCGGUUUUGUAAGACAGAGGUGAAAUCCCCGGGCUCAACCUGGGAACUGCCUUUGUGACUGCAAGGCUAGAGUACGGCAGAGGGGGAUGGAAUUCCGCGUGUAGCAGUGGAAUGCGUAGAUAUGCGGAGG
Molecule: ribosomal RNA, 596 nt
Filed under: uncultured bacterium
Lineage: Bacteria
Description: bacterial SSU rRNA
Rfam family: Bacterial small subunit ribosomal RNA
Source: RNAcentral